This 253-nucleotide ribosomal RNA is filed under the name uncultured bacterium. RNAcentral's name for it is "partial 16S ribosomal RNA". It matches the Rfam family "Bacterial small subunit ribosomal RNA", at positions 524 to 776 of the family's 1533-position model. The record is from RNAcentral.
UACGUAGGGUGCGAGCGUUAAUCGGAAUUACUGGGCGUAAAGCGUGCGCAGGCGGCUAUUUAAGCUUGCUGUGAAAGCCCCGGGCUUAACCUGGGAACUGCAGUGAGGACUGGAUGGCUGGAGUGUGGCAGAGGGGGGUGGAAUUCCACGUGUAGCAGUGAAAUGCGUAGAGAUGUGGAGGAACACCGAUGGCGAAGGCAGCCCCCUGGGCUAACACUGACGCUCAGGCACGAAGGCGUGGGGAGCAAACAGG